Molecule: small nucleolar RNA, 131 nt
Organism: Protopterus annectens (West African lungfish)
Lineage: Eukaryota; Metazoa; Chordata; Ceratodontiformes; Protopteridae
Product: small nucleolar RNA SNORA49
Exons: 1
Source: RefSeq, a predicted model, not a curated record
AUUCCCCAGUUUUACCACAGAUAUACAAGCAGUUUUGUGUAGUCUGUCUUAUCUGGGGAUAUAUUAGAUAGUCCCGUUCCCUCCUCAGUAGGACUUUAUUUCUUCUGGGGCCUAUAAGUUGGACUGACAAU